Molecule: ribosomal RNA, 1326 nt
Filed under: Escherichia coli
Lineage: Bacteria; Pseudomonadati; Pseudomonadota; Gammaproteobacteria; Enterobacterales; Enterobacteriaceae
Description: partial 23S ribosomal RNA
Rfam family: Bacterial large subunit ribosomal RNA
Source: RNAcentral
CGUAGUCGAUGGGAAACAGGUUAAUAUUCCUGUACUUGGUGUUACUGCGAAGGGGGGACGGAGAAGGCUAUGUUGGCCGGGCGACGGUUGUCCCGGUUUAAGCGUGUAGGCUGGUUUUCCAGGCAAAUCCGGAAAACCAAGGCUGAGGCGUGAUGACGAGGCACUACGGUGCUGAAGCGACAAAUGCCCUGCUUCCAGGAAAAGCCUCUAAGCAUCAGGUAACAUCAAAUCGUACCCCAAACCGACACAGGUGGUCAGGUAGAGAAUACCAAGGCGCUUGAGAGAACUCGGGUGAAGGAACUAGGCAAAAUGGUGCCGUAACUUCGGGAGAAGGCACGCUGAUAUGUAGGUGAAGCGACUUGCUCGUGGAGCUGAAAUCAGUCGAAGAUACCAGCUGGCUGCAACUGUUUAUUAAAAACACAGCACUGUGCAAACACGAAAGUGGACGUAUACGGUGUGACGCCUGCCCGGUGCCGGAAGGUUAAUUGAUGGGGUUAGCGGCAACGCGAAGCUCUUGAUCGAAGCCCCGGUAAACGGCGGCCGUAACUAUAACGGUCCUAAGGUAGCGAAAUUCCUUGUCGGGUAAGUUCCGACCUGCACGAAUGGCGUAAUGAUGGCCAGGCUGUCUCCACCCGAGACUCAGUGAAAUUGAACUCGCUGUGAAGAUGCAGUGUACCCGCGGCAAGACGGAAAGACCCCGUGAACCUUUACUAUAGCUUGACACUGAACAUUGAGCCUUGAUGUGUAGGAUAGGUGGGAGGCUUUGAAGUGUGGACGCCAGUCUGCAUGGAGCCGACCUUGAAAUACCACCCUUUAAUGUUUGAUGUUCUAACGUUGGCCCCUAAUCGGGGUUGCGGACAGUGUCUGGUGGGUAGUUUGACUGGGGCGGUCUCCUCCUAAAGAGUAACGGAGGAGCACGAAGGUUGGCUAAUCCUGGUCGGACAUCAGGAGGUUAGUGCAAUGGCAUAAGCCAGCUUGACUGCGAGCGUGACGGCGCGAGCAGGUGCGAAAGCAGGUCAUAGUGAUCCGGUGGUUCUGAAUGGAAGGGCCAUCGCUCAACGGAUAAAAGGUACUCCGGGGAUAACAGGCUGAUACCGCCCAAGAGUUCAUAUCGACGGCGGUGUUUGGCACCUCGAUGUCGGCUCAUCACAUCCUGGGGCUGAAGUAGGUCCCAAGGGUAUGGCUGUUCGCCAUUUAAAGUGGUACGCGAGCUGGGUUUAGAACGUCGUGAGACAGUUCGGUCCCUAUCUGCCGUGGGCGCUGGAGAACUGAGGGGGGCUGCUCCUAGUACGAGAGGACCGGAGUGGACGCAUCACUGGUGUUCGG